Molecule: long non-coding RNA, 408 nt
Filed under: Nicotiana benthamiana
Lineage: Eukaryota; Viridiplantae; Streptophyta; Magnoliopsida; Solanales; Solanaceae
Description: long non-coding RNA (NBEN_LNC037667)
Source: RNAcentral
AAUGCUUGAAUCAAAAAGGUUUAAAAGCUUCAAACUCGGGAAGCAUUUAAAGGGGCUGAAUGAGAAAAAAGGUUGCAGAAUUCCAUUUCGUCUAAUGCCUCUGAUAUUAGGACAGUGCCUCCCCAUCGCUUCUAAAAUCAAGGGGAUCAUGUAUGGUGAAUCAGAGAAGUCCACAAGUUCUAAGAUUGAGACAGCAACGAACAACUUCCAAUAAGACUUCUUCAGAGGCAUUGAAGGAUCCAUGAAAUGAUAGGUGCUUCAAAUUAGGACAUCUAUGAAAAAGUAAGACGAGACAUUAAAAGUCUUGCGGAUUGAGCAAAUCCAGCAAAUGCAAGAGUAAAAUGUUGCAGACAUCCCUGUUUAAGUUUUUAGUUGAAGUGAUUCACAUUACACAUUACAACAAGUUAU